AUUAUACCGUGAAACUGCGAAUGGCUCAUUAAAUCAGUUAUCGUUUAUUUGAUAGUACCUUACUACUUGGAUAACCGUGGUAAUUCUAGAGCUAAUACAUGCUGAAAACCCCAACUUCGGGAGGGGUGUAUUUAUUAGAUAAAAAACCAACGCCCNUUCGGGGCUUCUUGGUGAUUCAUGAUAACUUCACGGAUCGCAUGGCCUUGCGCCGGCGACGGUUCAUUCAAAUUUCUGCCCUAUCAACUUUCGAUGGUAAGGUAUUGGCUUACCAUGGUUUCAACGGGUAACGGGGAAUUAGGGUUCGAUUCCGGAGAGGGAGCCUGAGAAACGGCUACCACAUCCAAGGAAGGCAGCAGGCGCGCAAAUUACCCAAUCCCGACACGGGGAGGUAGUGACAAUAAAUACUGAUACAGGGCUCUUUUGGGUCUUGUAAUUGGAAUGAGUACAAUUUAAACCUCUUAACGAGGAACAAUUGGAGGGCAAGUCUGGUGCCAGCAGCCGCGGUAAUUCCAGCUCCAAUAGCGUAUAUUAAAGUUGUUGCAGUUAAAAAGCUCGUAGUUGAAACUUGGGCCUGGCUGGCAGGUCCGCCUCACCGCGUGUACUUGUCCGGCCGGGCCUUUCCUUCUGGAGAACCUCAUGCCCUUCACUGGGUGUGUUGGGGAACCAGGACUUUUACUUUGAAAAAAUUAGAGUGUUCAAAGCAGGCCUUUGCUCGAAUACGUUAGCAUGGAAUAAUAGAAUAGGACGUGCGGUCCUAUUUUGUUGGUUUCUAGGACCGCCGUAAUGAUUAAUAGGGACAGUCGGGGGCAUCAGUAUUCAAUUGUCAGAGGUGAAAUUCUUGGAUUUAUUGAAGACUAACUACUGCGAAAGCAUUUGCCAAGGAUGUUUUCAUUAAUCAGUGAACGAAAGUUAGGGGAUCGAAGACGAUCAGAUACCGUCGUAGUCUUAACCGUAAACUAUGCCGACUAGGGAUCGGGCGAUGUUCUUUUUCUGACUCGCUCGGCACCUUACGAGAAAUCAAAGU
This 1024-nucleotide ribosomal RNA is filed under the name Microsphaeropsis sp. MFLUCC 15-0487. Its description in RNAcentral is "SSU rRNA". It matches the Rfam family "Eukaryotic small subunit ribosomal RNA", at positions 73 to 1104 of the family's 1831-position model. The record is from RNAcentral. Lineage: Eukaryota; Fungi; Ascomycota; Dothideomycetes; Pleosporales; Didymellaceae.